CACAGGCCCAGACGGCAGCCGACUCUCCCGAGACACAGGGCCGAGAAGAACCGUCGGCAAACGCACCAGACGGGCGGAAAAAAAGGAUGAAGGGAGGAAGAUAUAGCCAGCCAGAGAAGGGAGAAGAGGAGAAACAUCUGGAAAAUAUCAGUGUUGCAGAGCCUCCCGGAAACUGACCUCGCCACCGAAAGGUCAUUUCUCAGCAUCUGUGGGAGAUUGGUUCCAAGACCCUUGAGGAUACCAAAAUCCGAAGAUGCUCAAGUCUCAUAUAAAAUGGUGAAUGGGGUCAAAAUGGAAACAGCAUGAGAGGGGCCACAGAAGGGAUUCACCAGGAAGAAGAGGAAAGGUGGGGCUGAGGUGGCCAGGACAGCACGACAUCACAUCUGACCAAGGCAUCCUCAGCCUUCCUUCAGAAAAGCAGCAGAAGGAAAAAGCUGGUACCAUUCUAAGCUUCAUCAGUGGAGAGUACUGUAGAGACAUUACAGAAAGAAGCAGUUUUCCUUCCUGGUUCCGGUACACUCUUUCUGCAGGCUGCUGCAAACACGCAUGGCUCCUAGAGUAUCCACACCUUCUUCAGCAACUGGCUCCUGCUGAACAUGAUGGUCAGCACCUCCCAGCCUCCAGCAGCUUCCACUGGCAUCCCUCUCGGUUGAUUUUGCAGCAGAAUGCAUCCAGUGAAAGACCUCCACAUGAAUAGCUUUCCUUAGCAUCUUAGAGGGUAGAUUUCUAGCAAGUUCUGCCAGCAUAGCACCCCAGUGACUUCUCUGCCAGCCCAGGAGCCACAGCAGGCCAUGACCUCUCCAGCAAGGUCUGGAGCAGAGAGAAGCAUGUGUUUGGGUGCUCUAUCAGACCCACGGCCCACGGGUAGGGGCUGCUCCUUAUAUCUGCUAUUCCUCUGUUAUUUAAAGUUCUCUUUACUUCCUGUUAGCUAGUCCCCAUUAUAGUGAACUACUUCUCUUUUUCUUAACAGUUUUCUUUUGUAUUUUUUAAAAAUUGUGGCAAAAUACAUAUAGUAUAAAAUUU
Molecule: long non-coding RNA, 1023 nt
Filed under: Homo sapiens (human)
Lineage: Eukaryota; Metazoa; Chordata; Mammalia; Primates; Hominidae
Description: HSALNT0329083
Source: RNAcentral